RNAcentral lists this long non-coding RNA (2657 nucleotides) under Bemisia tabaci. Its description in RNAcentral is "lncRNA ENSSSA1NGG000152". The record is from RNAcentral. Lineage: Eukaryota; Metazoa; Arthropoda; Insecta; Hemiptera; Aleyrodidae.
CUGCGAACACCCUAUUUAUCGAUCCUUUUCCAUAGGUUCAAAUGGCAUAACAAUCGAUGUAUCGCAAGCACGCCACGCCACUGAUGGAUCCUUGCUCACUGUGCGGGCUCAUGGGAAAGCGCAACUUGAACAUCCACGCAACUGGAUUCGCCGGAGCCCGGGCUCCGCCGCGAAGCGUGAGUUUUGAUCAGUCGCGCGGAAUCUCCACAGACUACACGUGUGCGCUCGUCUGGCUUUUCACAUCAAGUACCCGCUACGUAACUCGAAGUCCCCCCCAAAAAGGGAUUCGCGCGUGGGUUCCAUUUGAAGUGAUUUAGUCUCUACGCUCCUUCAGUUUCUAAGCAUUUGUCCAAUUAAGGGAAAUUUUGAGAGCAGAAGUCCCUUUGAAAAUGGUCCUUGUGCUUUGCGCGGAGAGAAGUUUUGAGGAUCAACCAGUGAAGAUUUUUCAGCGCCAGACCUUAGUUUAUCCUAUCCACGUUCUUUUUUUGAGUUUAUCAGUUUAAUUCGUUCGGUUUGUGCGACUACUAAGGUGUUUAAAGUGCGAUUGGUCUACCAGACGCAUUUUCUGGUCAGUUAGUCUGUUCUGUUGGAGGGCAUCAUUGGAUAAUCAAAAUUUCUGACGGCCAAGAGACUUGGAUACCAGACGGAGCAAUUGGAUUUUCGAACGGGUGGCCGAUGAAGUGGAAGCGUGGCAGGGGGCGGUGAUGUCGACGCUGAGUCAGCGACUGGCCGAGGACUCGCGGCUCCUCCAACUGGCCAAGUCCACGACGCCGCGGGACUCGAGGACGCGCCAAGGGAAUGGACUCGUCAAGCCGCCGCGAAAGAAGACGACCCCCAUCCAAACCCAGGCCUCGGGCAAGUCUAACCCGACGACCCCGGCCAAGUCGGCCAAGAGGGUCGUCUCCAUUGAGGAGCUCGUCCGCAACGACCCGAGCUACACCCCGCGCAUCGAGCACCUCGUCUUCGCCGCGUCUCCACCCGCACCCGCGCCCGGCGCCAACGCCAACGCCAAGAAGACGGAGAACAAGCGGCUCGCCGCCCCCCAGAAGAAGGAGCGGAUCUGGAGCUCCGUCGAGGAUACCCGGGCUCCGGAUCCGCCCUGCACCUGCGACCCCGCCAAAAUUCGAAGACGAGUCAAGGCGCAAGAGUCAGAAGGCAAAGCUUCCCCGGGAGUGAACGGACAUGCAGCGGUGGCGGCCAUGUCGGGAGCGAAUCCGCGAGGCAUCGACCGGGACCGAGCCACCGGACUGGCUCCAGCCUCCCAAGAGAAGAACCACCGACCAGUCGCCUUCCAGCAGCCCAAAGACCUAGUCAUGUCGUCGGCUAGGGGGCCUAACGUGUCGGUGCUGCACCUGCGAAGCACCUCGGAGCCGUGGGAAUCCUGCUUCCCGCGCAACGCAGCCCCGUCGCGGAACUCGCGGCUCUCGCAGAUGAACAGCGCGUGCACGGUCCCAUCGGCGACGCUCCUCAAGAACGCCAUGGCCACGAGCAACCUCGCGCGCCGCAAGUCCGCCGGCCUCUUCGCCUCGGGCGUCGCCGGCGAGGCCAAAGAAAACGGCUGCUCCCGCGAGCUGUCCCCGGUCCGCUGGUGCGACCAGGAGGUCGACGGCGUCUUCCUCGGCCGCUCCGGCUGGGUCCAAGUCCAACAGAAGUCCCUCGACAGGACCCCGCAGAAACCCCAAGAACCCCCCACGCCGCCCUCCAGAAACCUCACCCACUCCCACUCCCUCCGCUACCCCCUGGACUCAACCCCCGACCCCCUGGAGAUCCUCAACAGGCCCGGCUACCAGUUCACCUCCAGCCAGAGGGUCAUGCAGGUGUCGCAGCUCAAGACCUCCAAGUCGGAAGACAGCACCGCCAUCAUCUCCCCGCCGCCGGCGUUCCAGGACCACAACCAGCGUUUCGACACCGGCAACCGCCCGAAGACGCUCGCCUCCCGCUCUUUCAACUUCACGAGGAGCGACGCCGUGGAGGGUAGCCCGCCCGCGUCGCCUCCCUUUCACAGGAGCUGGAGCGCCUCGCCGCACACCCCGCAGGGACCGCGCCGAAGGUUAACGCCCUCUCCGGGAGCGAAGAUCCCCCAUACUAGGUCUUUCGACGACGCCACCAAGACCUCCAGCCGCCGCACCCAAUACCACAAGUACUCCUCGUCAUCUUCCUCGUCUUCGGCCGGGUUCCGGAGCUUCGACAGCACGCUCAACCGCACCAUGCCGAAGCUCUGCGAGACGGACUCCUCGGUGUACGACGAUGGCGACGAAGACGACAACAAUAGUUCCUUGAACCUAAGUGCACAUUCGACGAUGACGGUGAUCAACUCGUCGCCGGACUCGUGCGCCGAGACGAAGAAGCGAGAGAAGUACCGUCGGGCGAAGAAGGCCGAGAACUUCUGCACGUCGCCGUCGUCGUCGUCGUCGAGCGACUACUCGCCGGCGUCCGCGGCGCCGUUCCGCCGCUCGGUGAGCCACAACUCCCACUACCUCAACUCCUCCAAGGACUCCCUGGUCUCGCAUCAUUCCAGCGACUCCGUGUCGCGCAGCAACAAGGUGAAGCGCUCCCGGAGCCUCCAGCUCGCCGCCGACCGGGUCCCGCCCCCGGGGUUCCGGGGGCGGCCCCCGCCGUGCCGCCCCGCAACAGUGAGGACCCGCCCCGCGCCUGCC